UACGGGGGGGGCAAGCGUUGUUCGGAAUUACUGGGCGUAAAGGGCUCGUAGGUGGCCAACUAAGUCGGACGUGAAAUCCCUCAGCUUAACUGGGGAACUGCAUCCGAUACUGGAUGGCUUGAGUUUGGGAGAGGGAUGCGGAAUUCCAGGUGUAGCGGUGAAAUGCGUAGAUAUCUGGAGGAACACCGGUGGCGAAGGCGGCGUUCUGGACUGCAACUGACACUGAGGAACGAAAGCCAGGGGAGCAAACGGG
This 253-nucleotide ribosomal RNA is filed under the name uncultured bacterium. RNAcentral describes it as "partial 16S ribosomal RNA". It matches the Rfam family "Bacterial small subunit ribosomal RNA", at positions 524 to 776 of the family's 1533-position model. The record is from RNAcentral.